RNAcentral lists this ribosomal RNA (505 nucleotides) under uncultured bacterium. RNAcentral's name for it is "partial 16S ribosomal RNA". It matches the Rfam family "Bacterial small subunit ribosomal RNA", at positions 28 to 507 of the family's 1533-position model. The record is from RNAcentral.
GACGAACGCUGGCGGCGUGCCUAAUACAUGCAAGUAGAACGCACAGUUUAUACCGUAGCUUGCUACACCAUAAACUGUGAGUUGCGAACGGGUGAGUAACGCGUAGGUAACCUGCCUGGUAGCGGGGGAUAACUAUUGGAAACGAUAGCUAAUACCGCAUAAUAUUAAUUAUUGCAUGAUAAUUGAUUGAAAGAUGCAAUUGCAUCACUACCAGAUGGACCUGCGUUGUAUUAGCUAGUAGGUGAGGUAACGGCUCACCUAGGCGACGAUACAUAGCCGACCUGAGAGGGUGGUCGGCCACACUGGGACUGAGACACGGCCCAGACUCCUACGGGAGGCAGCAGUAGGGAAUCUUCGGCAAUGGGCGAAAGUCUGACCGAGCAACGCCGCGUGAGUGAAGAAGGUUUUCGGAUCGUAAAGCUCUGUUGUAAGAGAAGAACGGGUGUGAGAGUGGAAAGUUCACACUGUGACGGUAUCUUACCAGAAAGGGACGGCUAACUACGUG